AAUCAUAUGUGAUUUCUUAGAUCGUUGCGUCCCUUCGGGAAUGUUUGGAUAACUGUGGCAAUUCUAGAGCUAAUACAUGCAAUCAAGCUCCAACCUUCGUGGGACGAGCGCUCUUAUUAGACCAAGGCCAACCUGCUGGGCAACUGGCAGUUAGCUGUGGUGACUCUGGAUAAACAUAGUUGAUCGCACGACUUUACGUCGGCGACGCUUCUUUCAAGCGUAUGCACUAUCAGCUGUCGACGGUAGGGUAGCGGCCUACCGUGGCAUCAACGGGUAACGGGGAAUCAGGAUCCGAUCCCGGAGAGUAAGCCUGAGAGACGGCUUACACAUCUAAGGAAGG
RNAcentral lists this ribosomal RNA (340 nucleotides) under Spirobranchus triqueter. RNAcentral's name for it is "SSU rRNA". It matches the Rfam family "Eukaryotic small subunit ribosomal RNA", at positions 104 to 425 of the family's 1831-position model. The record is from RNAcentral. Lineage: Eukaryota; Metazoa; Annelida; Polychaeta; Sabellida; Serpulidae.